RNAcentral lists this small nucleolar RNA (88 nucleotides) under Ochotona princeps (American pika). RNAcentral's name for it is "Small nucleolar RNA SNORA74 (ENSOPRG00000022509.1)". The record is from RNAcentral. Lineage: Eukaryota; Metazoa; Chordata; Mammalia; Lagomorpha; Ochotonidae.
CCCAGCUGUAGGCAACUGCCUAGGUUCCAUUUUACCUAGGCAAGUGCUACACUUCUGGAAGAAAAGCAACCAUUAGCUGGCUGACAUU